GAGACAGAGGGAUAGACAUUAUCAGGCAGGAGUACACAGUGAGUGCAAAGACAUGCUUCCCCUCCCCAUUUCCUCUACACAAACAUAGGCUGAAAGAAGCAAAAAAACAUGCCUAACUAACACUUCUUCUACUAUAGCCAAUAACUGGGGUUCUAAGCAGCUCCUCAAAGUCAGGCUUCUUGCAGGAACAGUAUAGAAGAGAGAGGACGCCUCGCCCUCUUCUUGCACAACACCUUUCAAAUGCCCUUCUCGAAGCAUCUCAUACCUUGUGCAUUAUCAGCACAUUAUGAUGGGUCUCCUGUGGGUUAGUUAAUAAUUCUCUGCUUUCAAAACAAAUUCUCUGUUUUCAUGCAACUCAUUCUGUACUAAACCCAACCUAGGGAAGGAAUAGUGUUCUGGAAGGGUUGUUUGAAUGCCUGAAGUGAGAGGAAGAUGCUAGGGGAAAAAAAAAGUUGCAAAUCAUCUCAAUUGGAGAGAUGAGGAAGCAAGUGGUCUAACUCAAUGCUUUGCAGGGGGAGGGGAGGGCCUGGGCUGGGCUGGGCCAGGCCAUGGAGGCAGCGAGUUGGUUUAAAACCUGAAUGAAAAACAAGACAGCAGCCCUUUCUAGCUGGCUUUGCUUCAGAAGAAUAACAUUUGUCCUCCUUUUCUUGUUCCCUCUACAUCCUAGUAGAGAGACUCAAGUGUCAUGUCCUGAGCCUAUUCAGAUACCCCAGAAACCAAGGAAGAAAUUUAAAUAUGAAAAAUCGACGAGCUGGGCCUUUAUUCUCUAGGUCUGGAUCCUCCAUCACCUCAUACCUGGAUGGCAACAACCUCCUUGGGACUUUCAGAAAUCAUCUAAUCCAACCUCACCAACUGUAAAUGAAGUAACUGAAGUCCAGAGAUUACAUCACUCGCCUAUGGUCACGCAGCUAAUAAGUAACAGCAGAGAUGUGAACGCAGACCCUCUACCCUGAAUCUGGUGCUCCUCCCACUACACAGAGCUGUCUUCUAACCUCCAGUCUUUACAUCCCUCCCUUCUACUUUGACUCAGCAACUGAGAACUGCAGCCUUCAGGGCCUCUAGCGUUGACAUCACCAUGGGUUGGUAGUAGCUUGCUGAGGUUAGAUUAGAGACAAAGGGUAUUUAAAGAGGUAGGGCAAAAGAGGAAAGAGGCUCCAAUCCCUUUGUCUCUUGGGAAAAUUAAACCGGAGUCUGUUGCAGUAGGAAAACCUUACUCAUCUCUGUCCUCUAAGUAGAAUUUUUCCUCCUCUAAGCCUAUUGAAAAACAAAACAAAACCAACUGAUAACUUUUUGGGGGCUCGCUUUCAUUUUUAUAUC
Molecule: long non-coding RNA, 1317 nt
Organism: Vombatus ursinus (common wombat)
Lineage: Eukaryota; Metazoa; Chordata; Mammalia; Diprotodontia; Vombatidae
Exons: 3
Source: RefSeq, a predicted model, not a curated record